UACGUAGGGUGCAAGCGUUAAUCGGAAUUACUGGGCGUAAAGCGUGCGCAGGCGGUUAUGCAAGACAGAUGUGAAAUCCCCGGGCUUAACCUGGGAACUGCAUUUGUGACUGCAUGACUAGAGUACGGUAGAGGGGAAUGGAAUUCCGCGUGUAGCAGUGAAAUGCGUAGAUAUCUGGAGGAACACCGGUGGCGAAGGCGGCAUCCUGGACCAACACUGACACUGAGGAGCGAAAGCCAGGGGAGCAAACGGG
This 253-nucleotide ribosomal RNA is filed under the name uncultured bacterium. Its description in RNAcentral is "partial 16S ribosomal RNA". It matches the Rfam family "Bacterial small subunit ribosomal RNA", at positions 524 to 776 of the family's 1533-position model. The record is from RNAcentral.